CCUACGGGAGGCAGCAGUGGGGAAUAUUGGACAAUGGGGGCAACCCUGAUCCAGCCAUGCCGCGUGUGUGAAGAAGGCCCUCGGGUUGUAAAGCACUUUCAGUGAGGAAGAACGCCUGGUGGUUAAUACCCAUCAGGAAAGACAUCACUCACAGAAGAAGCACCGGCUAACUCCGUGCCAGCAGCCGCGGUAAUACGGAGGGUGCGAGCGUUAAUCGGAAUUACUGGGCGUAAAGCGCGCGUAGGUGGCUUGAUAAGCCGGUUGUGAAAGCCCCGGGCUCAACCUGGGAACGGCAUCCGGAACUGUCGAGCUAGAGUGCAGGAGAGGAAAGUAGAAUUCCCGGUGUAGCGGUGAAAUGCGUAGAGAUCGGGAGGAAUACCAGUGGCGAAGGCGGCCUUCUGGACUGACACUGACACUGAGGUGCGAAAGCGUGGGUAGCAAACAGGAUUAGAUACCCCAGUAGUC
RNAcentral lists this ribosomal RNA (465 nucleotides) under Vreelandella stevensii. Its description in RNAcentral is "partial 16S ribosomal RNA". It matches the Rfam family "Bacterial small subunit ribosomal RNA", at positions 338 to 795 of the family's 1533-position model. Lineage: Bacteria; Pseudomonadati; Pseudomonadota; Gammaproteobacteria; Oceanospirillales; Halomonadaceae. The record is from RNAcentral.